GAUGAAGAACGUAGCGAAAUGCGAUAAGUAGUGUGAAUUGCAGAAUUCAGUGAAUCAUCGAAUCUUUGAACGCACAUUGCGCCCCUUGGUAUUCCAUGGGGCAUGCCUGUUUGAGCGUCAUUUGUACCUUCAAGCUCUGCUUGGUGUUGGGUGUUUGUCCUUGCUCUAGUGGCGGGACUCGCCUUAAAGUAAUUGGCAGCCAGUGUUUUGGUUUUGAAGCGCAGCACAAGUCGCGAUUCAAGUCUAUACGCUAGUUUCCACAAGUCUUUUAUCACUUUUGACCUCGGAUCAGGUAGGGAUACCCGCUGAACUUAAGCAUAUCAAUAAGCGGAGGA
Molecule: unclassified non-coding RNA, 335 nt
Filed under: soil metagenome
Description: partial contains 5.8S ribosomal RNA, internal transcribed spacer 2, and large subunit ribosomal RNA
Rfam family: 5.8S ribosomal RNA (bases 1-120)
Source: RNAcentral